Molecule: ribosomal RNA, 254 nt
Filed under: uncultured bacterium
Lineage: Bacteria
Description: partial 16S ribosomal RNA
Rfam family: Bacterial small subunit ribosomal RNA
Source: RNAcentral
GACAGAGGUGCCAAGCGUUAGGCGGAAUCACUGGGCUUAAAGCGUGUGUAGGCGGAUGUCUAAGUACCUUGUGAAAUCCCACGGCUCAACCGUGGAACUGCUUGGUAUACUGGAUGUCUUGAGCCAUCUAGGGGCUACCGGAACAAAUGGUGGAGCGGUGAAAUGCGUAGAUAUCAUUUGGAACGCCAAUGGUGAAAACAGGUAGCUGGGGGAUGUGCUGACGCUGAGACACGAAAGCCAGGGGAGCAAACGGG